Chroicocephalus ridibundus (black-headed gull) is the source of this 1294-nucleotide long non-coding RNA. RefSeq lists it as uncharacterized. Lineage: Eukaryota; Metazoa; Chordata; Aves; Charadriiformes; Laridae. The record is from RefSeq and is a predicted model, not a curated record. The transcript is spliced from 2 exons.
AAGCCCCAAAAGAAAUCAACCAACAACAAACGCUACACUGAUGAAGAACAGCAGAACCCACCUUUAGCCAAAAUGGCAGGCGAUGUUCUUCUCUCUCCACAGGCGGCUUCCACUCAUUAGGCUGGAUUUCCUCGCAGCACUUGAACAGAACGGGCAACUGUUUUGUCUUUUUAUAGUACUAUGUGGAGACAGGACAGAAUGCAAGACAAGAUGACUGUGGUCAGAUCACCUGACUAAUAACUGCUGGGAUGUAGGAUAAGAACUGUGCUCUGUGACAGUGUUUGUGUGAAUAAAGUCAUUCUCAUCACUACUACUGUAAUAAGGUACUACCCUCAGAAACAUUAAAAAAAGAAUAAUAAAGGCUGAACAGGAGCUCACUGCCACCUCGGUUUCUCUCAGUAGAAAUCACGACAUUCUAGCAGACAUGCAGGCACACUUGCUUUAAAUAUUUCUGGUUCUUCUUCUCUCCUCAGCAGUGGCCACUGGCUCAUGGGACAGGGUAUUUGGCCAGCUGGACCUUCAGCCUGACUGGAGACAGCACUUUUGUUUUAGCCUCAAGACUCAAAGUUUAUUUGUACGAAUUUGUUCCUGAAGCCACAGUUGCACGUGCUGGGCUUUAAAGAGUCAAAAUAGCAAUAUAAGUACUUACAAAGUACAGAGGGGAUAAGGUCUUUUUUUGACGAAAUCCUCGUUGCUAAUACAAGGAUGACAUUUUCUUUUAAGAAAGUGUCGGUGUGGCAGUGUGCUCUCCCCUUCUUCCCUCCCCCGCCGCUCCUGCUCAAGCCAUAACCAUCAGCGGGAGGUGUGAUGAGUUGCACCUGGACUUUGGGGGAUGGCUGGCAACAGUCAAAACACUGUCUGGAGUGGGGACCCAGACAUUUCAUUCCCAUGGGAAUAUGACCGCAGGUCAAUUCUCCUACUCUGUGAAUAGCGGACAGCCCAGGAGCCCCCGGAGCUCUCCUGCACGGCAGCGGCUGCACGCCAGGAUCUCCCCGUGAGUUGGGACGCUCGCUUAAGGUUCUGCUCCUCGAGGCUGAGACAUUCCUUGCCCCAACAGAUUCUCGCGUGAAAUCCCUCCCACUGUCAAUGCUCUCCCACCUCUCGUCCCUUCAAAUGCGUACCGCUCUUCUUCACGGCUUUGCGCGGGCUCCAGUCAACUUGGACUUGGGCAUGAAAAUCUUCGAUGAGCUGCAGCGCUCCCUUCAAGUUACACGGCUGGAACAUCGUUUGAAACUUCGGAUUGAACGACUGACGAAGGAGUGUAGAGCUUCGAGCAAAGUUACCGAGCUCGCUC